GGGCCCAUAGCUCAGUUGGUAGAGCGCUUCCAUGGCAUGGAAGAGGUCAGGAGUUCGAACCUCCUUGGGUCCA
Molecule: transfer RNA, 73 nt
Filed under: Minisyncoccota bacterium
Lineage: Bacteria; Bacillati; Minisyncoccota
Description: tRNA-Ala
Rfam family: tRNA
About the family: Transfer RNA (tRNA) molecules are approximately 80 nucleotides in length.
Source: RNAcentral